ACUCCUACGGGAGGCAGCAGUGGGAAUCUUGGACAAUGGGGGCAACCCUGAUCCAGCCAUGCCGCGUGAGUGAUGAAGGCCUUAGGGUCGUAAAGCUCUUUCGCCUGUGAAGAUAAUGACGGUAGCAGGUAAAGAAACCCCGCGUACAUCCGUGCCAGCAGCCGCGGUAAUACGGAGGGGGUUAGCGUUGUUCGGAAUUACUGGGCGUAAAGCGCACGUAGGCGGAUCGGAAAGUUGGGGGUGAAAUCCCGGGGCUCAACCCCGG
Molecule: ribosomal RNA, 265 nt
Filed under: uncultured bacterium
Lineage: Bacteria
Description: partial 16S ribosomal RNA
Rfam family: Bacterial small subunit ribosomal RNA
Source: RNAcentral